GCCACGCCCGCUCAGAAACUUAAAGGAAUUGACGGGGCCCGCACAAGCGGUGGAGUAUGUGGUUUAAUUCGAUGCAACGCGAAGAACCUUACCUGGUCUUGACAUCCCGGAGACCCUUAGGAAACUAGGGGGUGCUUCCAUCUGGAAGAAUCUGGAGACAGGUGCUGCAUGGCUGUCGUCAGCUCGUGUCGUGAGAUGUUGGGUUAAGUCCCGCAACGAGCGCAACCCUUGCCUUUAGUUGCCAGCAGUUCGGCUGGGCACUCUAAAGGGACUGCCGGUGUUAAACCGGAGGAAGGUGGGGAUGACGUCAAGUCCUCAUGGCCUUUAUGACCAGGGCUACACACGUACUACAAUGGCCGAUACAAAGGGCAGCGACACUGCGAGGUGAAGCCAAUCCCGUAAAAUCGGUCUCAGUCCGGAUUGGAGUCUGCAACUCGACUCCAUGAAGUUGGAAUCGCUAGUAAUCGUGGAUCAGCAUGCCACGGUGAAUACGUUCCCGGGCCUU
RNAcentral lists this ribosomal RNA (505 nucleotides) under uncultured Desulfobulbus sp. RNAcentral's name for it is "bacterial SSU rRNA". It matches the Rfam family "Bacterial small subunit ribosomal RNA", at positions 903 to 1382 of the family's 1533-position model. Lineage: Bacteria; Pseudomonadati; Thermodesulfobacteriota; Desulfobulbia; Desulfobulbales; Desulfobulbaceae. The record is from RNAcentral.